RNAcentral lists this non-coding RNA (94 nucleotides) under Palpitomonas bilix. The record is from RNAcentral.
AGUCGAAAAAGGGGAAGUCGAAAGUGGUGCGCCCGCAGUACCAGUCCGAGCUAUCCAGCUUGACCACUGUGGUGAGGCGGAAGGAGACGGAGAC